Molecule: ribosomal RNA, 426 nt
Filed under: uncultured prokaryote
Description: bacterial SSU rRNA
Rfam family: Bacterial small subunit ribosomal RNA
Source: RNAcentral
UGGGGAAUUUUCCGCAAUGGGCGCAAGCCUGACGGAGCAACGCCGCGUGCGGGAGGACGGCCUGUGGGUUGUAAACCGCUUUUAUCAGGGAAGAAGCUCUGACGGUACCUGAUGAAUCAGCAUCGGCUAACUCCGUGCCAGCAGCCGCGGUAAGACGGAGGAUGCAAGCGUUAUCCGGAAUUAUUGGGCGUAAAGCGUCCGUAGGUGGCGACUUAAGUCUGCUGUCAAAGCUCACAGCUCAACUGUGGAUCGGCAGUGGAAACUGGGGUGCUAGAGUACGGUAGGGGUAGAGGGAAUUCCCAGUGUAGCGGUGAAAUGCGUAGAUAUUGGGAAGAACACCAGUGGCGAAGGCGCUCUACUGGGCCGUAACUGACACUGAUGGACGAAAGCUAGGGGAGCGAAUGGGAUUAGAUACCCCCGUAGUCC